Molecule: ribosomal RNA, 249 nt
Filed under: uncultured bacterium
Lineage: Bacteria
Description: partial 16S ribosomal RNA
Rfam family: Bacterial small subunit ribosomal RNA
Source: RNAcentral
UACAGAGGUCCCAAGCGUUGUUCGGAUUCAUUGGGCGUAAAGGGUGCGUAGGCGGCGCGGUAAGUCGGGUGUGAAAUCCUGGAGCUCAACUCCAGAACUGCCUUUGAUACUGGGGAUCUCGAGUCCGGGAGAGGUGAGUGGAACUCCGAGUGUAGAGGUGAAAUUCGUAGAUAUUCGGAAGAACACCAGUGGCGAAGGCGGCUCACUGGCCCGGUACUGACGCUGAGGUGCGAAAGCGAUGGGGAGCAA